Non-coding RNA from Phalacrocorax carbo (great cormorant), 301 nucleotides. NCBI's taxonomy places the organism in Eukaryota, Metazoa, Chordata, Aves, Suliformes, Phalacrocoracidae. The record is from RefSeq and is a predicted model, not a curated record.
AGCUAAGAAGACAGUAGAAGAAUCAGAAGAAAAGAAAGCAGCUCAGUCAAAGAAAAAGAUUAAAGAAUUAAGAAUUUUGGAUGGAAAAAGUGCACAAAACUUAUCGAUAUUUUUGGGUUCUUUCCGUUUGCCUUAUGAAGAAAUAAAAAAUAUAAUUUUGGAGGUUGAUGAAGAGAAGCUGAGUGAAUCCUUGAUUCAGAACCUAGUGAAGAAUCUUCCUGAGCAGAAAGAACUCAAUGCCUUAGCUGAAUUAAAGGAUGAAUAUAAUGAUCUUGCAGAACCAGAACAAUUUGGAGUUGUG